Molecule: long non-coding RNA, 4384 nt
Organism: Homo sapiens (human)
Lineage: Eukaryota; Metazoa; Chordata; Mammalia; Primates; Hominidae
Gene: MMP20-AS1
Product: MMP20 antisense RNA 1
Exons: 5
Source: RefSeq, marked validated
GAGCAUGAGAGGAUGGGCAGCCCUGAAGCAGGCAAAGGAAAAGUGGCACGGCAGGAAGCAAGUCAGAUGAGGGGGCCUGGUUUGUGCGAGAACAUGACAAACCAGUGUUCCUGAAGCCUAAAGGGAAGGUGAGACAAGGCAGAGGAGGCUGGCGGGGCCAGGUCACGGAGUCUCCUGUGCCACACUGAGAGUCUGGGCUUGAGCUUGUGGAGAGCCCAAGGAUGAAAACAGAGAAGUAAUUAAUGGCAGCUUUCCUGGGCCAGAAGAAUAAAUAAGGAAUUAUCUUACAAACAGCAAAUAAACCACAGCAACCAUGAAAUUAGAAGUUUGGUAAAACAUGUUGCAGAAGAACCAGGAAACACAUUGCAAUUGAGCCUGCUGGGUGCUGCUGCAAGUUUGGGGGUGAACAGGAGAAUCAGGUUCUUAUAGGGGUGAAGUCUGCAAAGUAGGAUGUUUUCCUAAUUUGAAUGCAAUGACUGAAGUGGAAAAUGGUCAAAACUGGGCAGAGUGGCUCACACCUACAAUCCCCUAGGAGGGAAGGACAAAGGCAUCCAUAUCACCUCGCCACAGUGGUUGUGGUGGAAGCUGUAGCACUGAAGAGAUGCAGCCCCAUGGAAGAUGCUGCCAAGAGAGGGAGACAGAGCUACGUCUGGUGUCUCCCUUCCUCCUUACCUGGUGCCUCCCUCCUCCUGUCCUCCUGUCUCCCUUCAGAUGAAGGAACUGAUGCUGAGACUUGCACUCUACCAUAGGCGGAAGCACCCACCACCCUGUUCCCAGCCCUGGAAGGGCAAGGAAUGAAUCUGAGGCAAAUAGGGCCAGCACUGGCAGUCUGCUCGAUUUUCCCUCAGAGCAUUUAUCUUCCUUGACAUAUUUACAAUUUUUUGUCUAUUUUUGGUUUCUCUAACUUGACUAGAAUGUAAGAUCCACAAGGCUUGGGCUUUGCUCUUUUGUUCACUAUGUCCAUAGCUCCUGUAACAGUGCCUAAAACAUAGUAGGCAAUCAAUAGAUAUUCUUUGGAUAAACAAAUAUGCCUCAACAUUGAGUCUAACUUACAGCAGACAUUGAAUAAAUAUCUAUUGAAUGAAUGAGACUAACAAUUUACUACAAAAGCAGUUCUUAUGUGAAAUAUGACAGGGUUGACAUCUUAACUGAAAUCCAUCUUGAGAGAUUUUUUUUAACCCACCGAGAUUUCUGAGAACACAUUUAUUUGAAGAACCUUAUAUUUUAUGAUGCAUUUUUAUAUGUGAAUUUUUUGAAACCCUACUAUCUUAUUUCCUGAGGGGUUUUAGACUCAGCUAUUCUUCAUUUCAUUUUUAUACAUUUGUGCAGCUGAACACUUCCUACUUUAUUCUUUUUGUUUCUAAGUUCCUAAAAAUAGUUCAGAAAAUCCAAAAUUAUGAACUCGAUUCAUCCAAAAAAAUGAACAAAUCAAAUAACUUUGAAAAUAAAUGCUUUCACUAUUUAUUACUAACAAAAUUGAACAGUAUAAUCCAGAAAAAUUGAGCAAAAAUAAUUUAUAAAUCUCAAGAUUAAAACCAAAUAUGGCUUUAUGAUUGUAUUAGUCCAUUUUCACACUGCUAUAAAGAUACUACCCAAGACUGGGUAAUUUACAAACAAAGAAGGUUUAAUUGACUCACAAUUCUGCAGGGCUGGGGAGGCCUCAGGAAACUUACAAUCAUGGUGGAAUGGAAAGCAGGCACCGUCUUUACAAGGUGUCAGGAGAGAGGGAGAGCAGGGGAAACCACCACUUAUAAAACCAUAAGAUCUCGUGGGAACACACUCACUCUCAUGAGAAUAGCAUGGAGAAAGCCGCCCCCAUGAUCCAAUCACCUCCCAUCAGGUCCCUCCGUUGACAUGUGGGCAUUAUGAUUCUGAUUACAAUUGGAGAUGAGAUUUGGGUGGGGACACAGCCAAACCAUAUUGGUCAAUUAAGCGAUAAAUACUAUAAAAAUUAUAAAUAGUGGUCAAACUGAAACAUUUCUCUGUUUCAGAAACUUUUCACUUUAAGAAAGUCUUAAAUUCAUUGUUGAUUACCUUGUUCACAUUUUCUCGAUCUCUCCUAGAGAUCAAAUUAGGACUGAUUUGUAUCAAUAAAUCUGGAUUUUGAUUUCCUUUAUGACUUUGGAUAGAUUUCUGGAUGGUGAGUGAAUACAGACUUAAACUUUAAGAAAGUGCCUGCUUCCAGCUUCUGGCUGGAGGCUACACUUCCCAGCCUGUCAGAACAGCCACCCUGAAAACUGCAAUCCAUUAUGAGAAAUAAAGCUCUCUUUUUUAAAUUAAAAAGAAAAAGGAAUUAAAAUGUAGGAUUUGGUGACCAAUUUAAGUAUGUUAAAGAUAUGUUUUGGCUACUGAGCUUCCUCUGAGAUUCUUUAUACUCAAACACAAACAAAGCACUGAAUUUCAACCUGAAAAUAUGUCAUGUGUUUCAAAUAACUUGAAGAACAAAAACAACAACAAAAAUCCUGUUAUUUUCUGGGAAAAAUGAUUCAUUUCAGGUAAAACCCAUGACAUAUUUUUAGGUCACCAAAUCCCACGUUUUAAUUCCUUUUUCAUUAGGAGAGUCCACCCAUGAUAAACAAUAGGAAGGUUGUAAUGAGUUUCUGUCUUUGUCCUCAGGCAAGAAGAAAUUCAAAUACAUUCUUUCUGUGUGAAUUCAUUUCUUUUCCACCUCAGCUGUUCAAAUCUCCAAAAUGAAUAACUAUUGCCAGCACUGUCUUGUUCAUGCUUGUUUUUAAAGCUGUUUCUUUCUUUUGAGACGUAAUCGCAGGCCCUUAAGAAAACCAGAAGGGACAAGCCAAGUGUCAAUUAUGUUUGUUGUUCCAGCUAGUCUGUUUCUGUAAGUGUAUGAUAUAGGACAGAAAGAAUUGGCCCAUAUUUUUUUCCAAUUUUGAGAAACUCUGAGCUUAAUUUUUAGUUUUCCCAAUUGUUUUUACUUUAGAAUAAAUUGCUUAGUAUAUCUAAUUAUAAUAAUGAUGGCUCACAUUUACUGCGCAUUAACUACAUCAAGUACUUAUUGUAAGUGACGCAUGUGACCAGUUGCCAAUUGUUCAGGCUACAGCUUGGAUCUGUUAGCAUCCUCAUUUAACAAAUGGAGAAAUUGUAGCACAGAGAAGGAACUUUCCCCAGGUUCCAUGGUGAAUAAAUAGAGGAAGUGCUCAAUGAGCCUAACUAAUCUGGGUUGAAAGCUCAUACUCUUACCCAGCCUCCAAGCUAGCAGAUGGAAAUCAAAAUAUCUUAUUUUAAAGCUCUUUUCUAGGAGAAAAGAUACCUUGAUAAGCUGUUUUUCCAAGGAAUGGGAGGCCAUAAUGACAUGUUUAAAUGAGACAAUAAACAGGUUUACAUAACUAGUUUACAUUUAAAAAGAAAGAUAAAGAAACAGGAACUUGGGUUCCUCCCAGAGGUCAAAGAAGGGAGGGGUCAGACAGAAGAGCAGAAGGUUGGCAUCUGUGGGGAGGUCACUGUGGGGAGACGAUUUUGGAGGUGGGUUUGCCAAAGGAUAUUAAUAAGAUUUUUCCCUCUAAUUGUUUGAUGGGGAGCAUUAGAAACUCCAUAAGAUUUUGGAUUUUGGAAAUCAAGUUUAUUUAAAUCUUAAAGGAUGAGUGAUAUCACCUACUUUUUGAGUUAUAAAUCUUUAAUAUAAUUCUAAUAUUCAACAUAUAUGCUUUGAAAACUGUGUUUUUAGAUUUUCCACUGAAUUUGAAAUAGGAUUAUUUUUAUAGUUGAAUCUUGUCCUCUCCUACAGGUCAAUUUUUAAGAAUAUAUAUCCAGGAAAAAGUAACUGCCCAUAAGCAAAAAUGAGUGCAAUUUCUGGUGCUCUCCUAACUGUAAUAUCACACGUAUUUGUGCUACAGAACAAGAAUAGGGACAAGGAAAGAAAACAAACUUGACCAACAUUUGAGAAUCUACUACAUGUUAAGUAGUAAGUCAUACUACUUUUUAAAAUCCACUUUAUCGAAGUAGAGUAAACAUAUACAAUUCACUAAUUUUAUUUGCACAGCCUAUAUAUAUAUACACUAGUGUCACCACUGCAACAAUCAUGAUAUAGAACAUUUCUAUCACCCCAGAAAGUUUACUCAUGAUCCUUUGUAGUCAAUCCCUCCUCCCACUUCCCACCUUUGGCAAUCAGUGACCUGCUUUCUGUUACUAUAGUUUUGUCUCCUCUAAUUUUUCAUAUAAAUGGAAUCAUAUAUCAUGAAGUCUUUUGUAUCUGGUUUCAUUCACUUUCCAUAUUGCUUUUGGGAUUCAUCCAUAUUGUUUCAUGUGUCAGUCAUUUCUUCCUUUUUGUUGUUGAGUAUGGACAUUCCAGUUUGUCUAUUCAUCAACUGAUAGAUAUUUGGGUUGUUUCUAGAUUUUAGCUAUCAUAAAUAAAACUUUCAUGAACAUU